AAAAAAUGAAAUUGUACAAGUUUGGCUCAAUCACUCAUUACUCAACCUAAUUUCUAAGAUGUCUUACAAGGCUUGGAUUUCAAAGAAAUUCCUAUUUUAUUGACAUUUGUACAAUUCAAGUCAAGAUAGAGAUUUGUUGGCAUAUCUUAAAUUGUGAGGACAAUUCAAGUCCAUGCUCAAUUGGUAAACAAGCCAAUCUUAAGCCAACUAAACCGUAGCACAUGUAGGUUGUUUACCAAAAGAA
Molecule: unclassified non-coding RNA, 244 nt
Filed under: Hevea brasiliensis (rubber tree)
Lineage: Eukaryota; Viridiplantae; Streptophyta; Magnoliopsida; Malpighiales; Euphorbiaceae
Source: RNAcentral